This 7016-nucleotide long non-coding RNA is filed under the name Capsicum annuum. Its description in RNAcentral is "long non-coding RNA (CANN_LNC003850)". The record is from RNAcentral. Lineage: Eukaryota; Viridiplantae; Streptophyta; Magnoliopsida; Solanales; Solanaceae.
GCAGGUUUUUCAUCUUUCUCUCCAACAACUAGUUCUUCAGGUUUCUCUUCAAGUGCCAGUUCUUCAGGUGUUUCCUCCUUUGCCAGCUCUUCAGGUGUUUCCUCCUUUGCCAGCUCUUCAGGUGUUUCUUUAGCUGCCGGUUCUUCAGGUUUCUCUUCAACCUCCGGUUCUUGUGGUAUUUCCUCUACUUGUACUUCAGAUUUCUCCUCAAUUGUUGGUUCUUCAGGUUUCUCUCUAACCGCUGCUGCAUUAGGUUUCUCUUCAUUGGCUGGUUCUUCAGGUUUUUCUUCAACUACCGAUUCUUCAGGAUUUUCCUCAAUGUUUGGAAAGGGAGCGACAUCAUUAUUGGUAUUGCAUGGAAUUUCACUGCCAGUUUUGUCAUUCAAGUCCACAACUAGUAUAUUCUGCAAAAGAGUUUAAUGUUUCACUUAGUCUUUCAAUAAAGAAGCAGAUGCGAAUCAUUACAUAUACAUAACUAAUAACAUGGAUAAACUUUAUGACAGUAGUUGACCCUUACCUUUUCCACAAGAGUUACUUUUGCAGGUUUCUCCUCUUCAAGUGCUGGUUUCUCUUCAAAUGAUAGUUCAUUAGGUGUUUCUUCCCGUGUUGGUUCUUCAUGUGCUUCUUCAGUUACUGGUUUUUCAGGUUUCUCCUCAAUUGUUGGUUCUUCGCUUGUCUUCUCAACUGAUGGUUCCUCAUGCUUCUCUCCCGUUGUUGAUUUUUCGGGUUUCUCUUCAGUUGUCGAUGGUUCAGUUUUUUUCUCAACCGCUGGUUCUUUUGGCUUCUCCAAAACCAUUUCCGAUUUCUCUUCAGUUGGUGGUUCUUCAUGGUUUUUUUCAACUACUGGUUCUUCUCUUUUUUCCUCAACUGAUGCAUAGUCAGCAAUAUCGUUGUUGGUAUUGCUUGGAAUUGCAUUGUCUGUCUUGUCCUUUGAGCUUACAAUUGGCAUAUUCUGCUAGAAAAAUAUAAAGUUUCAUGUAGUCUUUCAACAGAGAAACCAAUGUAAAUUUGUUGCACAUAUAAAGCUAACAAAUAUGAUGGAUAGACUUUGCGAGAGUGUUUAAUACUCACCUUCUCCGGAAGAGCUUCCGUUUCAGGUUCCUCUUCAAUUUCUGCUUUUUCAUCUUUCUCUUCAACAACUAGUUCUUCAGGUGUCUCUUCAACCGUUGAUUCUUCAGGUUUCUCUUCAAGUGUUAGUUCUUGAGGUGUUUCCUCCUUUGCUAGCUCUUCAGGUGUUUCUGUAACUGCCGGUUCUUCAGGUUCCUCUUCAGCCACCGGCUGUUGACGUAUCUCCUCUACUUGUACUUCAGAUUUCUCCUCAAUUGUUGGUUCUUCAGGUUUCUCCUUAACCGCUGGUACAUCAGGUUUAUCCUCAUUGACUGGUUCUUCAACUGCUGAUUCUUCUAGAUUUUCCUCAAUGUCUGGAAAGCGAGCAACAUCAUUAUUGGUAUUGCAUGGAAUUUCAUUUCCAGUUUCGUUAUUCGAGUCUACAAUUAGCAUAUUCUGCAAAAAGAAUUUAAUGUUUCAUUUAGCCUUUCAAUAAAGAAGCAUAUGCGAAUAACAGUACAUGCAUAACUAACAAAAUGGAUAAACUUUGUGAUAGUGCUUGAUCCUUACCUUUGCCAAAAGAGUUACCUUUUCAGGUUUCUCCUCUUCAACGGUUGGUUCUUCAUGUUUCUUUUCAAAUGCUAGUUCCUUGGUUGUUUCUUCCGGUGUUGGUUCCAUAGGUGUUUCUUCAGUUACUUGUUUUUCGGGUUUCUCUUCAAUUAUUGGUUCUUCGAUUGUCUUCUCAACUGAUGGUUCUUCAAGAUUUUCUCCCACUGUUGGUUUUUGGGGUUUCUCUUCUAUUGUUGGUUGUUCAGGAAUUUUCUCAACUGGUGGUUCUGCUGGAUAUUCCAAAACCAUUGAUUCUUCAGAUUUCUCUUCAAUUGAUGGUUCUUCAUGGGUUUUUUCAACUACUGGUUCUUCAAUUUUUUCCUCAACAGAUGCAUAGUCAACAAUAUCAUUAUUGGUAUUGCUUGGAAUUGCAUCGUCUGUCAUGUCCUUUGAGUUUACUUUUGGCAUAUUCUGCAAUAGAGUUUCAUGUAAUCUUUCAACAGAUAAACAGAUGUAAAUUUGUUGCACAUAUAAAGCUAAUAUGGUGGAUAAACUUUGUGACAGUGUUUAAUCCUCACCUUCUCCUGAAGAUCUUCCGCUUCAAGUUCCUCCUCUACAAUUGCAGUUUUUUCCUCUUCCCCUUCAACAACUAGUUCUUCAGGUGCCUCUUCAGCCGUUGAUUCUUCAGGUUUCUCUUCAAGUGCUAGUUCUUCAGGUGUUUCCUCCUUUGCCAGCUCUUCAGGUGUUUCUUUAGAUGCCGAUUCUUCAGGUUUCUCUUCAGCCAUCGGUUCUUGAGGUAUUUCCUCUACUUGUACUUCAUAUUUCUCCUCAAUUGUUUGUUCUUCAGGUUUCUCUUCAGGUUUCUCCUUAACCACUGGUACAUCAGGUUUCUCUUGAUUAACUGGUUCUUUGGGUUUUUCUUCAACAGCCGAAUCUUCAGGAUUUUCCUCAAUGUCUUGAAAGCAAGCAAUAUCUUUAGUGGUAUUGCAUGGAAUUUCACUGCCAGUUUUGUUGUUCGAGUCUACAAUUAGCAUAUUCUGCAAAAGGAAUUUGAUGUUUCAUUUAGCCUUUUAAUAAAGAAGCAGAUGUGAAUAACAUUACAUGCAUAACUUACAAAAUGGAUAAAUUUUGUGACAGUCCUUGACCCUUACCUUUUCAGGUUUCUCCUCUUCAACAGCUGAUUCUUCAUGUUUCUCUUCAAAUGCUAGUUCUCUGGGUGUUUCUUCCCGUAGUGCUUCUUCAUGUGCUUCUUCAGUUACUGGUUUUUCAGGUUUCUCCUCAAUUGUUGGUUCUUUGAUUGUCUCCUCAACAGAUGGUUCUUCAAGCUUCUCUCCCGUUGUUGAUUUUUCUGGUUUCUCUUCAAUUGCUGGUUGUUCAGGAAUUUUCUCAACAGCUGGUUCUUCUGGCUUCUCUAAAACCAUUGAUUCUUCAGCUUUCUCUUCAAUUGAUGGUUCUUCAUGGUUUUUUUCAACUAUUGGUUCUUCAGUUUUUUCCUCAACGGAUGCAUAGUCAACAAUAUCAUUGUUGGUAUUGCUUGGAAUUGCAUCGUCUGUCAUGUCCUUUGAGUUUACUUUUGGCAUAUUCUACAAUAAAGUUUCAUGUAGUCUUUCAAUAGAUAAACAGAUGUAAAUUUGUUGCAACAUAUAAAGCUAAUAUGGUGGAUAAACUUUGUGACAGUGUUUAAUCCUCACCUUCUCCCGAAGAUCUUCCGCUUUAAGUUCCUCCUCUUCAAUUGCUGUUUUUUCAUCUUUCGUUUCAACAACUAGUUCUUCAGGUGCCUCUUCAGCCGUUGAUUCUUCAGGUUUUUCUUCAAGUGCCAGCUCUUCAGGUGUUUCCUCCUUUGCCAUCUCUUCAGGUGUUUCCUCCUUUGCCAGCUCUUCAGGUGUUUCUUUAGCUGCUGGUUCUUCAGGUUUCUCUUCAGCCGCCAGUUCUUGAGGUAUCUCCUUUUCUACUUCAGAUUUCUCCUCAACUGUUGGUUCUUCAGGUUUCUCUUCAUUAACUGGUUCUUUGGGUUUUUCUUCAACAGCCGAAUCUUCAGGAUUUUCCUCAAUGUCUGGAAAGUGAGCAACAUCUUUAUUGGUAUUGCAUGCAAUUUCACUGUCAGUUUUGUCGUUCAAGUCUACAAUUAGCAUAUUCUGCAAAAAGAAUUUGAUGUUUCAUUUAGCCUAUUAAUAAAGAAGCAGAUGUGAAUAACAUUACAUGCAUAACUUACAAAAUGGAUAAACUUUGUGAUGGUCCUUGACCCUUACCUUUCCAGGCUUCUCCUCUUCAACGGCCAGUUCUUGUUUCUCUUCAAAUGCUAGUUCCCUGGGUGUUUCUUCCUGUAUUGGUUCUUCAUGUGCUUCUUCAGGUACUGGUUUUUCAGGUUUCUCCUCAAUUGUUGGUUCUUCGAUUGUCUCCUCAACAGAUGGUUCUUCAAGGUUCUCUCCCGUUGUUGAGUCUUCUGGUUUCUCUUCAAUUGCUGGUUGUUCAGAAAUUUUCUCAACAGCUGGUUCUUCUGGCUUCUCCAAAACCAUUGAUUCUUCAGCUUUCUCUUCAAUUAAAGGUUCUUCAUGGUUUUUUUCAACUACUGUUUCUUCAGUUUUUUCCUCAACGGAUGCAUAGUCAACAACAUCAUUGUUGGUAUUGCUUGGAAUUGCAUCGUCUGUCAUGUCCUUUGAGCUUACUUUUGGCAUAUUCUGCAAUAAAGUUUCAUGUAGUCUUUCAAUAGAUAAACAGAUGUAAAUUUGUUGCACAUAUAAAGCCAAUAUGGUGGAUACACUUUGUGACAGUGUUUAAUCCUCACCUUCUCCUGAAGAUCUUCCGCUUCAAGUUCUUCCUCUUCAAUUGCUGUUUUUUCAUCUCUCUCUUCAACAACUUGUUCUUCAGGUGCCUCUUCAGCCGUUGAUUCUUCAGGUUUCUCUUCAAGCACUAGUUCUUCAGGUGUUUCCUCCUUUGCCAGCUCUUCAGGUGUUUCUUUAGCUGCCAGUUCUUCAGGUUUCUCUUCAGCUGCCGAUUCUUGAGGUAUUUCCUUUACCUGUACUUUAGAUUUCUCCUCAAAUGUUGGUUCUUCAGGUUUCUCCUUAACCGCAGGUACAUCAGGUUUCUCUUCAGCUGCUGGUUUUUGAGGUUUCUCCUCUACUUGUACCUCGGAUUUCUCCUCAACCAUCGGUUCUUCAGGUUUCUCCUCAACCUCUGGUACGUCAGGUUUCUCUUCAUUAACAAGUUCUUCACUUUUUUCUUCAAUAGUUGAUUCUUCAGGAUUUUCCUUAGUGUCUGGAGAGUAAGCAACAUCAUUAUUGGUAUUGCAUGGAAUUUCACUGCCAGUUGUGUCGUUCGACUCUACCAUUGGCAUAUUCUGCAGAAAGAAUUUAAUGUUUCACUUUGCCUUUCAAUAAAGAAGCCGAUGUAAAUCAGAGGACAUACAUAACUAAAAAAGAUGGAUUAACUUUGUGAUAGUGUUUGACUCUUACCUUUUCGAAAAGAGUUAUCUUUUCAGGUUUCUCCUCUUCAACUGUUGGUUCUUCAUGUUUCUCUUCAAAUGCUAGUUCCUCAGGUGUUUCUUCCUGUAUUGGUUCCUCAGGUGUUUCUUCUUCUGUUACUUGCUUUUCAGGUUUCUCCUCAAUUGUUGGUUCUUUGAUUGUCUCCCCAAUCGAUGGUUCUUCAAGCUUUCCCCCCCCUGUUGGUUUUUCAGGUUUCUCUUCAAUUUUCGGUUGUUCAGGUAUUUUCUCAACUGCCGGUUCUUCUGCCUUCUCCAACACCAUUGAUUCUUCAGAUUCCUCUUCAAUUGAUGAUUCUUCAUGGGUUUUUUUAACUACUGACUCUUCUGUGUUUUCCUCAACUGAUGCAUAAUCAGCAAUGUCGUUGUCGGUAUUGCUUGGAAUUGCAUUGUCUAUCUUGUCCUUUGAGUUUAAUUUUGGCAUAUUCUGCAAUAAAGUUUCAUGUAGUCUUUCAAUAGAUAAACAGAUGUAAAUUUGUUGCACUCAUAAAGCUAAUAUGAUGGAUAAAAUUUGUGACAGUGUUUAAUCCUCACCUUCUCCUGAAAAACUUCUGUUUCAAGUUCCUCCUCUUCAAUUGCUGCUUUUUCAUCUUUCUUCUCUACAACUAAUUCUUCAGGUUCCUCCUCAACGGUUGAUUCUUCAGGCUUUUCUUCAAGUACUAGUUCUUCAGGUGUUUCCUCCUUUGCUAGCUCUUCAGGUGUUCCUUUAGCUGCCGGUUCUUCUGGCUUCUCUUCAGCCUCCGGUUUUUGAGAUAUCUCCUCUACUUGAACUUUAGAUUUCUCAUUAAUUGUUGGUUCUUCAGGUUUCACCUCAACCGCUGGUACAUCAGAUUUCUCCUCAUUAACUGGUUCUUCAGGUUUUUCUUCAACAGCCAAUUCUUCAGGAAUUUCCUCAAUGUCUGGAAAGUGAACAACAUUAUUCUUCGUAUUGCAUGGAAUUUCACUGCCACUGUUGUCGUUCGAGUCUAUAAUUAGCAUAUUCUGCAUAAAGAAUUCAAUGUUUUACUUAGCCUUUCAAUAAAGAAGCAGGUGUGAAUCACAAUACAUGCAUAUCUAACAAAAUGGAUAAACUUUGUGAUAGUGCUUGGCCCUUACCUUUUCUAAAAGAGUUUCCUUUUCAGGUUUCUCCUCUUCGAUGGCUGGUUCUUCAUGUUUCUCUUCAAAUGGUAGUUCAUUUGGUGUUUCUUCUCGUGUUGGUUCUUCAGGUGCUUCCUCAGUUACUGGUUUUACAGGUUUCUCUUCAACUGUUAGUUCUUCGAGUGUCUCCUCCAUCGAUGGUUCCUCAAGUUUCUCUCUUGCUGCUGGUUUUUCAGAUUUAUCUUCAACUAUCGGUUGUUCAGGUUUAUUCUCAAUCGCUGGUUCUGCAGGCUUCUCCGAAACCGCUGAUUCUUCAGAUUUCUCUUCAAUUGGUGAUUCUUCGUGUUUUUUUUCAACUACGGGUUCUUCAGUUUUUUCCUCAACUGAUGCAUAAUCAGCACUAUCAUUGUUGGUAUUGCAUGGAGUUGCAUUUUCUGUCUUGUUCUUUGAGCCUACAAUUGGUGAAUUCUGCAAAAAAUUUAAAAUUUCAUUUAGUCUUUAAAUAGAUAAACAGAUGUAAAUUCAUUGCACAUAUAAAGCUAAUAUGAUAGAUAAACUUUGUGACAGUGUUUAAUCUUCACCUUCUCCUGAAGAGCUUCCAUUUCUAGUUCCUCCUCUUCACUUGCUGGUUUUUCAUCUUUCUCUUCAACAACUAGUUCUUCAGGUGUCUUUAUAGUCUUUGAUUCUUCAGGUGCUUCUUUAUCUGCCCGUUCUUCAGGUUUCUCUUCAGCCACCGGUUCUUGAGGUAUAUUCUCUUGUACUUCAGAUCUCUCCUCAAUUAUUGGUUCUGCAGGUUUCUCUUCAUUGUCUGGUUCUUUGGGUUUUUCUUCGACAGCCAAUUCUUCAAGAUGAUUUUCCUCAAUGU